Rhamnusium bicolor is the source of this 79-nucleotide non-coding RNA. The record is from the annotation of a GenBank genome assembly. Lineage: Eukaryota; Metazoa; Arthropoda; Insecta; Coleoptera; Cerambycidae.
GGCCUCGUGGUCGAGUGGUAAGGAUACUUGCCUCUCAUCCUGGAGUCCCAUUGGGUUCGAUCCCCGGUCGAGGAGCUCG